This 370-nucleotide ribosomal RNA is filed under the name uncultured organism. RNAcentral's name for it is "bacterial SSU rRNA". It matches the Rfam family "Bacterial small subunit ribosomal RNA", at positions 526 to 896 of the family's 1533-position model. The record is from RNAcentral.
CGAAGGGGGCUAGCGUUGUUCGGAAUUACUGGGCGUAAAGCGCGCGUAGGCGGCGACCUUUGUCAGAGGUGAAAUCCCGAGGCUCAACUUCGGAAUUGCCUUUGAAACGGGGUUGCUUGAGUCCGAGAGAGGAUGGCGGAAUUCCUAGUGUAGAGGUGAAAUUCGUAGAUAUUAGGAAGAACACCGGUGGCGAAGGCGGCCAUCUGGCUCGGUACUGACGCUCAGGCGCGAAAGCGUGGGGAGCAAACAGGAUUAGAUACCCUGGUAGUCCACGCCGUAAACUAUGAGUGCUAGUUGUUGGGGGGUUAACCCCUCAGUGACGUAGCUAACGCGUUAAGCACUCCGCCUGGGGAGUACGGUCGCAAGAUUA